AGAGCGAACGCUGGCGGCAUGCUUAACACAUGCAAGUCGAACGCUCGUAGCAAUACGGGAGUGGUAGACGGGUGAGUAACGCGUGGGAACAUACCCUCCGGUUCGGAAUAGCUCAGGGAAACUUGGAUUAAUACCGGAUACGGCUGAGAGGCGAAAGAUUUAUCGCCGGAGGAUUGGCCCGCGUUCGAUUAGCUUGUUGGUGAGGUAACGGCUCACCAAGGCGAUGAUCGAUAGCUGGUCUGAGAGGAUGAUCAGCCACAUUGGGACUGAGACACGGCCCAAACUCCUACGGGAGGCAGCAGUGGGGAAUAUUGGACAAUGGGCGCAAGCCUGAUCCAGCCAUGCCGCGUGAGUGAUGACGGCCUUAGGGUUGUAAAGCUCUUUCGCUCGGGACGAUAAUGACGGUACCGAGAUAAGAACGCCCGGCUAACUUCGUGCCAGCAGCCGC
This 448-nucleotide ribosomal RNA is filed under the name uncultured bacterium. RNAcentral describes it as "SSU rRNA". It matches the Rfam family "Bacterial small subunit ribosomal RNA", at positions 26 to 518 of the family's 1533-position model. The record is from RNAcentral.